UUUUUCAUUUUAAGAGUAUGUUAGUCGUCUAUGCCAAGUUCAAUAACUCAAGAUUAAAUUAGCUGGGUCUUUUAUCAGACUUAUACUGUUAUUGAUGUUGAAGCAGCAGCACCUUUUCUUAACUGAAAUCAUCUCAUUACACUUCACAUGUUUAAAAAGUUACAUCGAUAUAAUGAUUUUCGGUAUCGCUCCAGAAGCGACGUCUGAUCAUGCACGAGGACAUGGACAAAGGGCUGAAGUUUGAGGACAAAGAGUUUGAGUAUGAGGCCUUGAACAGGAGGACCUUGUUAGUAACAGCCAAAUAUAUCUGAAAAAGUCUGAACUAAACUAAACUAAACACCAAUAAACUUGUGCGGUACAUGUGAACCAAAAUGAGUGAUUUAUUAUACAGUUCAUAGUUUGGCCACCUGAACCUUUUGAAUGUAUUGAUGGUGAAACAUUUUGGUAUUUUUAUUGAGGGAAAAAAAAACACUUCUGUCUAUGUAUCUUCUGAAAACCAAAAUCUCACGAUUCAUCUUUAGGAGCCGUGUUCCUUGGAGGAAGAAAAGUCAGAGGGGAAUGGGUGCAUUGAGCCUUGUGUGACAACCCAUCAUGAAAAAAAGGAGUUGUACUCUCCUUUAAAAAGGAAGCCGAUUGAAUCCAGGAAGCAUGGUGCCUGUGAUGAAAAGAAGAAACCCAGGGAGGAGAACGUGUCAGAGAUUGAUGUCUGCAAAGCUGAUGGGGAGGGCCAUGUCAAAGAUGAAAUGAGCUGUGGUCCUGGAUUGAACAACAGCUGAGGAAUAUAGAUGCAUUGAACUUUGUGUGAGCACCUGCAGUGGACCAAAGCCCAAAAGAUUGCAGACUGGAUCAGGACAACCAACUGCCACACCCUCGAGGACAAACAGAAUUCAUACUGUUUUUGAUAAAGAAAACAAUGUGUUUGUUGACAGUACUGUUGUUAAUGUUCAAAUAAAAUGGAGACAUUUCAAAGAUGCUGGCUUGUGUAACAGUCAAAAAGAUAAGACUGAGUCACAAAAGAGGACCGGCAUAUGCAACUGCCACACC
This is a long non-coding RNA of Scatophagus argus, 1044 nucleotides long. RefSeq lists it as uncharacterized. The transcript is spliced from 5 exons. NCBI's taxonomy places the organism in Eukaryota, Metazoa, Chordata, Actinopteri, Scatophagidae. The record is from RefSeq and is a predicted model, not a curated record.